GCACUACUGAGGAGUCCCACAAUAGGACAAAACGGCCGUCCAGUGU
Schistosoma mattheei is the source of this 46-nucleotide non-coding RNA. NCBI's taxonomy places the organism in Eukaryota, Metazoa, Platyhelminthes, Trematoda, Strigeidida, Schistosomatidae. The record is from Rfam.